Molecule: small RNA, 30 nt
Filed under: Bombyx mori (domestic silkworm)
Lineage: Eukaryota; Metazoa; Arthropoda; Insecta; Lepidoptera; Bombycidae
Description: ovarian small RNA-7720
Source: RNAcentral
UCUCCGCACAAAGCGGGUGGAGCCCGAAGC